GUGGGGAAUUUUGGACAAUGGGCGCAAGCCUGAUCCAGCAAUGCCGCGUGCAGGAAGAAGGCCUUCGGGUUGUAAACUGCUUUUGUACGGAACGAAACGGUCCUGGUUAAUACCUGGGGCUAAUGACGGUACCGUAAGAAUAAGCACCGGCUAACUACGUGCCAGCAGCCGCGGUAAUACGUAGGGUGCGAGCGUUAAUCGGAAUUACUGGGCGUAAAGCGUGCGCAGGCGGUGCUGUAAGACAGGCGUGAAAUCCCCGGGCUCAACCUGGGAAUUGCGCUUGAGACUGCAGUGCUGGAGUACGGCAGAGGGGGAUGGAAUUCCGCGUGUAGCAGUGAAAUGCGUAGAUAUGCGGAGGAACACCGAUGGCGAAGGCAGUCCCCUGGGCCUGUACUGACGCUCAUGCACGAAAGCGUGGGGAGCAAACAGGAUUAGAAACCCGGGUAGUCC
This 450-nucleotide ribosomal RNA is filed under the name uncultured bacterium. RNAcentral's name for it is "partial 16S ribosomal RNA". It matches the Rfam family "Bacterial small subunit ribosomal RNA", at positions 354 to 796 of the family's 1533-position model. The record is from RNAcentral.